This 497-nucleotide ribosomal RNA is filed under the name uncultured bacterium. Its description in RNAcentral is "partial 16S ribosomal RNA". It matches the Rfam family "Bacterial small subunit ribosomal RNA", at positions 28 to 507 of the family's 1533-position model. The record is from RNAcentral.
GACGAACGCUGGCGGCGUGCCUAAUACAUGCAAGUAGAACGCUGAAGAGAGGAGCUUGCUCUUCUUGGAUGAGUUGCGAACGGGUGAGUAACGCGUAGGUAACCUGCCUGGUAGCGGGGGAUAACUAUUGGAAACGAUAGCUAAUACCGCAUAAAAUGGAUUAUCGCAUGAUAAUCCAUUGAAAGGUGCAAAUGCAUCACUACCAGAUGGACCUGCGUUGUAUUAGCUAGUUGGUGGGGUAACGGCUCACCAAGGCGACGAUACAUAGCCGACCUGAGAGGGUGAUCGGCCACACUGGGGCUGGGACACGGCCCAGACUCCUACGGGAGGCAGCAGUAGGGAAUCUUCGGCAAUGGACGGAAGUCUGACCGAGCAACGCCGCGUGAGUGAAGAAGGUUUUCGGAUCGUAAAGCUCUGUUGUAAGAGAAGAACGAGUGUGAGAGUGGAAAGUUCACACUGUGACGGUAUCUUACCAGAAAGGGACGGCUAACUACGUG